CUGGACAUUGUAGCAAAAAGGCUACGUGGGCUGCCCUGACGCUGUGAACCCACACAGCUUGCUCCGGCCCAUCCAUCGUCGGCGAGUGACCUGCCGCCCGCCGCCGCCGCCGGCACCCUCCGGCCAUUGCCAAUCGCCGUCCUAACCACCAAUCGCAUUUCCUCCCGCGCACGCGAGCGGGCGCCAUGGCUGGGCAUCUAAGCAAAAAACCAUUUCUCAUCCUCCUCCAACCCCGCCGCCUGUCCACCACCGCCGCAUCUUCCUCGGCCGCCGCGGGAGAACUCGCCCCCGCGUGCGUCGUCAAGGAGAUACCCCACGACGAUGACCUCGCGGAGGAGUCGCGCAGCCGCCUCGUGCGCGACACCUGCAAGCUGCUCGAGCUCCGGGGCUCGUGGACCCCGAAGCUGGAGGCGCAGCUCCGGCACCUGCUCCGGGUGCUCUCCCCGCCGCAGGUCCGCGCCGUGCUCCGCGCGCAGGCGCAGACGGACGCCCGCGCCGCGUUCGAGUUCUUCCGCUGGGCCGACCGCCAGUGGCGCUACCGUCACGCACCGGAGGUGUUCGAUGAAAUGCUGAGCCUCCUCAGCCACACCAGGCUCCACGACCCCGCCCGGCGCGUCAUGCGCCUCAUGAUCCGCCGCCGCAUGAGGCGCGGGACGCAGCAGUUCGCGCACCUCAUGCUCUCGUACAGCCGCGCGGGGAAGCUCCGCUCCGCCAUGCGCGUGCUCCAACUCAUGCAGAAGGACGGGUGCGCACCUGACAUAUCGAUAUGCAAUGUGACAGUGAAUGUGCUUAUUUUUGCCGGGCGCAUUGACAAGGCAAUAGAGUUUGCUGAGCGGAUGCGCCGUGUUGGGGUCGAGCCGGAUGUAGUCACAUACAAUUGCCUUAUCAAGGGGUUAUGUAGUGUGUGGAGGGUUGUUGAGGCGCUAGAGAUGAUCGGUGUAAUGCUGCAAAAUGGGUGCCCACCUGAUAAGAUUACCUAUUAUACAGCCAUGGGCUUCUUGUGCAAGGAGAAGAGGGUGGCAGAGGUGCGGGGUUUGCUUGGGAGGAUGAGGAGUGAUGCGGGUCUAUUUCCAGAUCAGGUCACAUAUAACAUGCUUAUCCAUGUGCUUGCAAAGCAUGGGCAUGCAGAUGAGGCGUUGGAGUUCUUGAGGGAGUCAGAGGGGAAAAGGUUCCGUGUUGAUGAGGUUGGAUAUAGUGCAGUUGUGCACUCUUUCUGCGUGAAUGGGAGGAUGGCUGAGGCAAAGGAGAUUGUAAGUGAGAUGAUCUCAAAAGAAUGUCACCCUGACGUUGUGACAUAUAGCGCAGUUGUUGAUGGGUUCUGCCGGAUCGGGGAAAUUGAUCAAGCAAGAAAGAUGAUGAAGCAUAUGUAUAAGAAUGGCUGCAAGCCAAACAUAGUCACGCAUACUGCGCUGUUAAAUGGUCUCUGCAAAGCUGGGAAAACUUCAGAGGCUUGGGAAUUGCUAAACAACAGUGGAGAGGAAUGGUGGACUCCCAGUGAUAUCACAUACAGUGUUGUAAUGCAUGGGUUUAGAAGAGAAGGGAAACUAAAGGAAUCAUGUGAUGUCGUCGCCCAGAUGUUGCAAAAGGGUUUCUUUCCCACUACUGUGGAGAUUAACUUACUGAUCCAUGCGUUAUGUAAGGAAGGAAAGCCAGGGGAGGCCAAAGACUUCAUGGAGCAGUGCCAAAGCAAAGGUUGUACCAUUAAUGUUAUCAACUUUACUACUGUAAUUCAUGGAUUUUCUCGGCAGGGGGAUUUGGAAUCAGCACUGUCUUUGUUGGAUGACUUGUAUCUCAGCAACAGGCAUCCAGAUGUUGUAACUUAUACUGUUGUUGUGAAUGCUUUGGGAAAGAAAGGUCGGCUGAAAGAAGCGACAGAGCUUGUGAAGAAAAUGCUUAAUAGAGGAAUUGUCCCUACACUUGUUACAUACAGGACAGUGAUACAUAGGUACUGUGAGAAGGGUACAGUGGAAGAAUUACUCGAUCUACUGGAUAAGAUGUUAGCAAGACAAGAGCUUAAGAGUGUAUACAAUCAGGUCAUCGAGAAGCUAUGUGCAUUAGGUAAAAUAAAUGAAGCUUACAGUCUCCUCAGCAAGGUACUGAGAACUGCCUCACAGAGAGACGCUCAGACAUGCCACAUUCUGAUGGAGAGUUUUCUUAAUAGAGGUCUCGCAGUUCAGUCAAACAAUGUGGCGUGCCAGAUGUUUCAGAGAAAUUUAAUUCCUGAUAUUAAAUUGUGUCAAAAAGUUGACAAUCAGCUGACCUUAGAGAAACAACAAACUUCUGGAAAGCUUAUAGUUAAGUUUUUAGAAAGAGGUCUUCUGAAACAAGAAAAUUGGUAACGUUUCAUGCUUCAUGCUCAUACCCCUGCACCUGUCACCAACUUAUUCACAACCAGUCAAUAGACUGGUAGGUAUGGAACCUGAAGACUGAGUGAAACACUUAAGGGGAGGAGACAAUGGAGGGAG
This is an RNA transcript of Triticum dicoccoides, 2465 nucleotides long. It is a transcript of the gene named pentatricopeptide repeat-containing protein At5g41170, mitochondrial-like, with no coding region annotated. The record is from RefSeq and is a predicted model, not a curated record. The transcript has 3 exons. NCBI's taxonomy places the organism in Eukaryota, Viridiplantae, Streptophyta, Magnoliopsida, Poales, Poaceae.